Molecule: RNA transcript, 3682 nt
Organism: Anguilla rostrata (American eel)
Lineage: Eukaryota; Metazoa; Chordata; Actinopteri; Anguilliformes; Anguillidae
Gene: top1b
Gene name: DNA topoisomerase Ib
Exons: 21
Source: RefSeq, a predicted model, not a curated record
UUCAUGAAAAUUCGGACUUAGUCUGUUACACAACUAUUUCAAUCUCCAUUCUGUGCACCGCUGCACGCCGGCAUUUCCUCCCAGACAUUUCUUAUUUUAUUUUUUUAAAUAAAUCAAACGGACAAUGAGUGGGGAUCAUGGACACAAGGACUCCCAGAGCGAUUGUGGGUAUCGGCUUAAUGAUUCUCACAAACACAAAGACAAGCAUAAGGACAAAGAACGCAAACACAAAGACCACAAGAAAGACAAGGAGAGGGAGAAGUCCAAGUGUACUAACAGCGAAUACAAGGAUUUCUCCGAAAAGAAACACAAAGACAAAGUGAAGCACAAAGAUGGAAGUUUGGAGAGACACAAGGACAAGCACAAGGACAAGGAGAAGAGAAGAGAGGAAAAGAUCAAGUUCUCGAGUGUCGAUGGCAAACCCAAGAAAGAAAAGGAAAACGGGUUUGCCAGUCCCCCUCGCUUCAAGUCUGAAGCUGAAAAUGAUGACUUCUACCACUCUCCCAAACACGAGAAGUCUCUGAAGCGGGAACGGGACGACGAAGAUUAUGAUUUCAAGCCUAAAAAAAUUAAGAUUGAAAAUGAAAAGAAGGCAAAAAAGAGGAAACAAGAGGAGGAUGAGGAGGAGGAUAUAAAACCCAAAAAGAAGACAAAAGAUAAAAAAGGAGGAGAAGGCGAUGGCAAAAAGAAGGCCAAGAAGGAGCCAGAGGAGAAGUGGAAAUGGUGGGAGGAAGAGAGGUACACCGAUGGCUCAAAAUGGAGGUUUCUGGAACACAAGGGACCUGUCUUUGCACCUCCAUAUGAACCACUUCCCAGCAAAGUAAAGUUUUACUAUGAUGGGAAGCCAAUGAAGCUGAGUGCACCAGCUGAGGAAGUUGCCACCUUCUUCGCCAAAAUGCUGGACCAUGAGUACACUACCAAGGACAUCUUCCGUAAAAACUUCUUCAAAGACUGGAGGAAGGAAAUGACAUCUGAGGAGAAAUCAAAGAUCACCGACUUGAACAAGUGCGAUUUCACUGAGAUGAGUGAUUACUUCAAAGUACAGUCUGAGGCCAGAAAGCAGAUGUCAAAAGAGGAGAAGCAGAAAAUCAAGGAGGAGAACGAGCGUAUCCUGCAGGAAUAUGGCUUCUGCGUGAUGGACAACCACAGGGAGCGAAUCGGAAACUUCCGUAUUGAGCCCCCAGGUCUAUUCCGUGGGCGAGGGGACCACCCCAAGAUGGGCAUGCUGAAACGCCGCAUCCGGCCGGAGGACAUCAUCAUCAACUGCAGCAAGGACUCCAAACACCCCAAGCCUCCUCCAGGCACCAAGUGGAAGGAGGUGCGACAUGACAACAAGGUGACAUGGCUGGUGUCCUGGACAGAGAACAUCCAGGGCUCCAUCAAGUACAUCAUGCUGAACCCCAGCUCCAGGAUCAAGGGAGAGAAGGACUGGCAGAAGUACGAGACGGCCCGCAGACUAAAGAAGUGCGUGGACCGACUCCGGUCUCAGUACCGGGAUGACUGGAAGUCCAAAGAGAUGAGGAUCCGCCAGAGAGCAGUAGCCCUGUAUUUCAUCGACAAGCUAGCCCUGCGAGCAGGGAACGAGAAGGAGGAGGGGGAGACGGCGGACACGGUGGGCUGCUGCUCCCUGCGUGUGGAACACAUCAAACUUUACCCUGAGAUAGACGGGCAGGAGUUUGUCGUGGAGUUUGAUUUCCUGGGAAAAGACUCCAUCCGUUACUACAAUAAAAUUCCUGUGGAAAAGAGGGUCUUCAAGAAUCUUCAGCUCUUCUUGGAAAACAAGCAGCCGGAAGAUGACCUCUUUGACCGCCUUAAUACCUCAAUUCUGAACAAGCACCUUCAGGAGCUGAUGGACGGACUGACGGCCAAAGUGUUCCGUACCUACAACGCCUCCAUCACCCUGCAGCAGCAGCUGAAAGAGCUGACCAGCCCUGAGGAGAACAUCCCUGCCAAGAUCCUGUCCUACAACCGGGCCAACCGAGCCGUGGCCAUUCUGUGCAAUCAUCAGAGAGCCCCGCCCAAGACUUUUGAGAAGUCCAUGCAGAACCUACAGACCAAGAUAGAUGCCAAGAAGGACCAGCUCUCUGAUGCCAGGAGAGAGCUGAAGAGCGCCAAGGCAGAUGCCAAAGUGCGGAAAGACGAGAAGACCAAAAAGUACGUGCGGGACCAAGAAGAAGGCUGUGCAGAGAAUAGAGGAGCAGCUCAUGAAACUUGAAGUGCAGGCAACAGACCGUGAGGAGAACAAGCAGAUCGCUUUGGGCACCUCCAAACUCAACUACCUGGACCCACGCAUCUCGGUAGCCUGGUGCAAGAAGUGGAACGUGCCCAUUGAGAAAAUCUAUAACAAAACCCAGCGGGAGAAGUUUGCCUGGGCCAUUGACAUGGCGGACGAAGACUUUGAAUUUUAAUCCCAUUUUAAAGUUCCAAAUGUUUCCUUCCCUUGUAAUUUAAAAGACAUUUUUAAAGUAUGUUUGUAGCAUCACUGAUUCCACCAUGUGGUCAACCUGACCAAGGAGAAAGAAGGGUCAGAGGAAAAGGCUAUUACAGGAGGUGGGCAUAAGGGCUCGGGAUGGGGGAUGGGCGAGGGGGGUCAGGGGUAGUUGCAGAGGGAGUAUGGGAAGGAAGUUCUUUUAGGUAGUUGGAUUGAUGUGACUUCAGGUGUCCACACUGGAAGACUGUGCAAAGUGACUGCCCUUAACAACCACAUAGCAGUAAUCCCCCUGGACUGGGGAAUGACAGAUGCUCGGCCCAAACAGGCUUAACCCUGCGUCAGCGAGGCACCUGACUUUACAAACUCUGUGGCUUAUAGCUGCUGUAUUCAAGAGAACUGCUUGUGUUUUUAUCAUUUCAUGUUUUGUUUUUUUGCUCUCUUGGUCCAUUUCUGCCCCUAAGAUUUAUUGAUGAAUUCUAUAUUUUAAUAGAAAAAGAUAAAUCAAAGAGUUCCUUAACGUACACCCACGCCUUGUAAGAAAGUGAAAUGCAAGACCAGCUGGGAAUUAACUGACUGAAGAAGCUGUGUGUUUGGGUGAGCGUGUGACGUGGUAAAUGUGCAUUUUAGCUCAGCUUUGAAUUGUGUGUAAUUCUGAACAUGAAUGAGGGUGUAUAGAUAAACAUCCUAUUACUGUUAAUAUAACUUUAGCAGACAGAAUGUGAAUUUUUUUGUUUUACAGUUUCUAUCAGGGAUUAUUUUCUUCAGUGUAUUUGUGAACCAAUGCUUUUAAAUCCUAUGAAACUCUUUCUACAUGGUUCUGAAUCACCAUUUGGUUUUAACUUAAUUUUACUGCCUGUUUUUAACAGAGGAACAACAGUCAUGUCUUUGUUACUUGAAGCAAUGGCUAUGUUUUAAUGUACUAGUUUGGGCAAGUUUUCUUCCCAAAGGUCAGAUGGAAAAAUGUGAGGGAUAUCAAUUUUGCCAAAAAAAAACCCUACAAUCAACCAUUAAGCUGCAAUUAGGGCGUUUAUUUUUUUGCAGUUGUGUAAAGAAUGAAGGAGGACAGUCUAACAUGAAUUAAUGUGAAUUCUCACAGGUAACUCUGGACUUACUUUUGUUUUGUUCUAGGAAGCAUUAGCAUUAAUAUAAGCAGCCAAUGUUAAUUCUUUACCAGCUUAUUCCACCUCUUGUCCAAGCCUUCAUUUUUGCCCUUGUAGGUUAUUUAAAAAUAAAAAAUACAAUUCAAAUACA